UGGGGAAUAUUGCGCAAUGGGGGCAACCCUGACGCAGCAACGCCGCGUGAAGGAUGAAGGUUUUCGGAUUGUAAACUUCGACAAACAGGGAAGAAAAAAUGACGGUACCUGUCUGAAGCCACGGCUAACUACGUGCCAGCAGCCGCGGUAAUACGUAGGUGGCAAGCGUUGUCCGGAUUUACUGGGUGUAAAGGGCGUGUAGGCGGGCGCUUAAGUCAGCGGUGAAAUACCGGAGCUUAACUCCGGGGCUGCCGUUGAAACUGGGCGUCUUGAGUGUCGGAGAGGAAAGCGGAAUUCCUAGUGUAGCGGUGAAAUGCGUAGAUAUUAGGAGGAACACCAGUGGCGAAGGCGGCUUUCUGGACGAUAACUGACGCUGAGGCGCGAAAGUGUGGGGAGCAAACAGGAUUAGAUACCCUGGUAGU
This 422-nucleotide ribosomal RNA is filed under the name uncultured Acetivibrio sp. Its description in RNAcentral is "bacterial SSU rRNA". It matches the Rfam family "Bacterial small subunit ribosomal RNA", at positions 355 to 794 of the family's 1533-position model. Lineage: Bacteria; Bacillati; Bacillota; Clostridia; Acetivibrionales; Acetivibrionaceae. The record is from RNAcentral.